UAAGAUUGAUGCUUAUCCCUAGUUGGAGUUAUAUUAGUUACUCUAGAAGAGUUCUAAGCAAGAGAACUAAUUGUUCUAUGCUGGUAGUGGCUACACAAAGAUGAAGUGAAGUGCUGAAAUUUCAGCAUGAUGCAGAAUUUCAGCAUGAUGCUGAAAUUAAGAUUGAGCUGGAAUUAUUGCCUUGAUGGAGCUCUUGGGUGUGCCGAAUUGAAAAGGAACCUGGUAGAGUGGUAUUAGAUGGAUCUGAGAUGAAAGGGAUCUAAAGAUUAUGAUUAGAAAGAGAAUUCCUGCUGUAAAUAAGUAAUAAACAGGGAAGUAUAGAUGCCGAGACGUUUAAGUAUUAUGAAUUCUAUGAGAUUUGCUCUAAGUAUAUACUUAUGAUUAGUUGUUGGAAGGUAAAGCUGAGCUAAGAUCAUGAUAAAUUCAUCUUAAGGUUGAUGUUAUUGGUCCCUAAUUCUUGAUUAUUAAAGUCUAAAGUUGAUUAGAAAUUUACUAGUGAGACUAGGCAUAUGUAUAUGUGGAUCGUAUAUACAUAUAUACAAGUACCUUGGAGUAGAAAUGCAAACUUGUAAAAUAUGUGAAUGUGACCUUAGUUAAUCUCUUUUAUUCUCUUAUGAAUGAAAGUUAAACUUGUACAAAAGUCUAAAUUGACAUUCCGACAGGUCGGCGAAGCGUUAAUUGCAUUAGAAGCCAAUUCGGCUCUAGUUGCAUUGAGUCGCGUAAUACCUUUGCGGAUUCACUUCGAGACGUGGAUUCUAGUUGUUGACACCACUACAGGUGGGUGGUGCUAUCCGAAGUCUUUGAAUCACCUUUUAUGUCUAUGUUAUUCAUUGAGCAUAUUUACUUCUGUUUUUCAUGCAUUAUAGGGUAUGGGCAUUGGUAUUAUGCAAGUGAUAGUGAAUGUGUGAAUUCUUAUUGAUAGUGAGAACAUAUGAACAUAGAAUGUGGACAUAGAAACCUAUGAAUGCAUGGACUAUAACAAUAGUGAACUUGGUGACAUAUGACUAGAGAUUUGGUUAGCAUCGACAUUGGAAUUAUAAAACUAGCAUAAAGAGCUAGUUAGAGUAAAGUGUGACAGUGUUUGUCAGUUAAAUCCUCUAAAGGGGGAUCAGAUCAUACUCACAUUUGUUUGGUUCAAGUGAGGUCGCUCCUCCUUGAACGAUGAGCUCCGGAGUAGUCAUCUUUACUGGACCAGGAGGUUGCGUCUCCCCCAGUUGACAGUCCCGUCGGGUGCAGGUUGCGUCUCCCCGAUAUUUGGGAUAGUGUCAGUGAGUUAAUGUUAACCAGAGGGUUAACCAAAAGAUUGGAUAAAGAUAAUGAAAAGCAUGCAUGCAUAUUUACAGUUUUCAUAUACAUCGUUUCUUUCAGCUUGUACAGGCAUUGUAGUAGUUACAUAUUAUAGUCGGUUACUAUCUCAGUUUACUUUUCUUGCCUACAUAUGCCUGAGUAGACCUAGUGGGUGAGUCGGCGAGGUCGGCGGCCGAACCCACUGGGAACUUUCUUGUAGUUCUCACACCACUAACCAUAUAGGUUCCAGUGCGAGUAUUGUGGCCGAGGAUCGAGGCAAGAGCCAGCAGCCUAGCUAGUGGACACCCGAGUACUAGUGGUAUACCAUUUUGGGUUCAUGUAUCAUCUAUUUCGAUGUACAGAGACAUGUAAAUGAAUGUAUAUAAAGUAUGUAAUAACUAAAUGUUUCAGUUAUGUAAAGUUUUAAAUUACAGUGAAUUUCAUUGUACAGUUAGUUUACUAUCACUUGUGUUGUUGCUUGCCAUCGUGCAAGCCAUGUAUAUUGAAAUGUGAUCCUGGGAAUUGUUUAUUUCUUUAUACAUGUAUUCGUUGUUGUUGAGCCUUGGGCGAACAGAGGAGGUGCUGUUCGUUCGGCGUCUGUGUACGGGCCCGGAUCGACCAAAUUGGCGAUAGCGGGACGUGACAGAUAGAGUGGUAUCAGAGCAAGUGAUAGUGAAAGUCUAGGAUGACCUAGGGGACUUAGGAAUGGAAACCUAGGAACCAGGAACGCGAGUGGCGUGAAUCUAAUGAUAGCGAAGGCUAAAUUAAUUUGGUUAGUUGUUAGUAAGUCUCUAAUGUUAAUUAGGGGCUGAUCCAAGUGUUAUUUAUACGCAACGAACGGAGUUAUGUUGGGGGCCCACAACAUAAAGCUAAGGGUUGAGUAUAAAUACACUUAUUGCUUUCGCCUGAUUGGUAUUGUUCUACUAGUGUAAACGGUUCAUUUCAAGAGAAAUGUCGCGACGUGCGACGAGAUCCACUCCGGCAUCACCUCCUGGGAUGCCAGAGCAGACUGGAUCUAGCGAAGUUCAGGAGCUACGUGCUCCGAUGAGCGCGUUAGUUGGAAUUGUACAGAGGCAGGAGGAGAAUAUGAAGAAGUUACAGGAUCUAGUGUCGCAACAGGCGACAACAGCAGCAUCUGAGGAUCAGGCUGUAUAUAUACCUAAUCCGACAGUGAGAGUGCCCCUCCUCCAGUGAUGAUUCCUCCAGUGAUUUCUGGGCCGUCUGAUUUUGAUUUGACUGCAACAAGGACUGAGCACGAGCAAUCAUUGGCUGUAUUGAUGGCGUUUCUGCGGUUCAAUCCGCCUAUGUUGAUGGAAAGAAGGCAGAUCCUUGGGUAUUGGAGACAUGGCUCGCCUCGAUGGAAGCCUUAUUUGAGGAUAUCGAUACCCUGGAAAAGGAUAAGAUUCAUUUGGCAGCACUAUUUCGAAAAGGACACACAAAAUUGGUAGAUUGAGUCAAUGGACUCUAGAAGACUGUGAAGUAGUUGGAUAAAGAAAUACUUGCAGGUCGAGAAUCUAUGGAGUGGCUUCGGGGAGAUUCUCCCAGAAAGGAUUUGCUUAUCGAGGACAGGAUAUAGAGUUGUUGUUGGAAUUAACGACAAGUGGACUUCAAGAUAAAUCAUGGGGGCUACAGCAGGAUGCCUGUUCAGAGAAAAGUAGGUAGAAAGAUUUUCUAUAUGCUAAGUUAUGAUUAGUACACAGUGUGAGAUAUUGGAAACAAGGCCGGUUAGGAAAUAUGGAAACUUUGACAGGAAAUUUGUCAAAGCUAUGCGCUUUCCUGAUCUAUGAACUUCUGAUGAAGUAAUGGACCGAACCUUGUGGUUGAAGUUAAGUGAUAUUUCGCACGGAAGGGGUGCGAAUUGAUUAGUGAGAAUGAAGGAUAAGCGACUGAUAUUGAGCUCGAGUGAUUAAUCGAGUGCCAAGUGACAGCCGGAAGAGAGUUGUAGUCGUUAACCUAGAAUUCGGAAAGGUCUGUUGGUUGACCUUUUACUUUGAGAGGAAUGAUUGUGAUAAUUUUCACCUGGCCAGGCCACGUGUAUUAUUGGAUAAGUGAAGUGGUAAAAAAACUGCCUUCAGUAAGAAGAUUGUAUAUUUGGAAAUGAUACAAACUCCGAGCGGUACAUGCAAGAAUGUGAUAGAGCCUUGGAUUUGACACUAGCGUGCAAGGAUGAAGAGAAUAUAUUGUCUAUUGAGGGAUAGAUAGUUGGAUCGUGCUAGUGAGCAGUCACAGUGAGCCAAUGUUGGGGCUCGAGAUGAAGAUGGACAUAGUGGACCUAUUCUCUAAACCAUUCGGGUGGUAAUGAGAAUUAAAUUAGAAACGUUAGAAGACGUUUCUAGAAUUCGAAAAUCUAGAUAGUAUUUCCGAUGGAUUGUGUAGUGGUAAGGGCGUCACUAUUGUGGCAUGGUUAGAUGAUCGCCUGGUUUUGGCAAGUUAGUUGAGUUGUACCUCAAAUAAGUUGAGGAAUUGUGUUUGCGUAUUCGAGGCAUAGGCUGAAUUACCUAGCGUGAGAUGUCUAGCGAGAGAUACGAUAGUGUAAGACGCUUGAGUAUAGCUGUCGGUAGAAUGUGGAUUAUGGUUCAGCUAGGAGAGUGUGUUGGCAGUAGCACUGGAGCGUUGCUAAGUGUGAAGCGUGCCAAGGAUCACUCGCGGGGCUGGUGGCUCGCAGGUGCUUAGGAGCCGAUAGUGGUACUUGUAGCUCUGUAGAGCAUGUCGUGUAGGACGACGGCGGGUAGUGCUUGGUGACGACCCGUGCCUGGACCCUUUGUGGACUGUGGAGCCUGGGCCCAUUGGGCAGGCGCAGUCAGCUGCGAGAGGCAGCGGCCUGGUACCUACGGGUAGGGCAGAGAUUUGGUCCGGACGGUAGUCCGAGCUUGGACCCGAGUACGUGGAAUGCCACGUGUUAGAUCGUGAGAUCGAGGAUACAGAGUGUAGCGACCCAACCCGAGGACUUGACAUGGUUUGGAGUUGCGGUUGCUCCGGUUAGAGUGAGUGUGAAUUCUUCAAUAAGAAUGUCGCCCGAUGAUGAUUGGGUCUACGCUUGCGAGCGAGAAACCUUAUGUAAGGUGGAAUUGAGAUAAGUAAUUUAGCUGAUUGCUCUCGAAGUGCGAGAGUUGGUGAAUUGAGGAUAGUGACCUCAGGAGCGGAGGCUCGGUCCUAUUAGUUGCCUAUUUUGAACCGCCGAGUUAGGCGUCGAUGAGAAAUUGAGAUUAGAAGCACGAACGAGGUGUUCGUGGAAACUCGUGGCAAGAGAUUGAUAUAUUGUGAACGUGGCUGGAAAAGUCAAAGGUUUCCUUUGAGAUUAGUGUGUAGUGGAAGCCACGUGAAAUGUUGGAGGAUUAUGUCUUCAAAUCAUUAGAGUGUGGAGAUGUUAGAAUGAACCCUUCGUUGAGAAGUGGAAAUUUGUGGGUGAUGGAACACUCACAAUUGAGUGGUGUAUUGUGAUAUCGCAGAUGACGAUGCCAGUUGAGGAAUCAAAGUAGACUCCACCGAAGAAUGAUGAGAAUAGCGAAUGUUAUCUAACAAGUUUAUAUAUGAACCAAGGUGGUUUAUGUAUUUUGAGUACGAAUCAUACAGGAAUGAUUCCCAUCGUGAGUAAAACAGAUAGCAAUAUUCUUUGGAAUAAGAGGAUGUUAUUGUUGUGAAUUGGUUAUCAUCUAUUGAUGAUAAGAAUGAUGACAGGGACAUGUUAAGAUGAUGAUGCGGGUAAUCAUUGAUUUAUGAGGAAAAAUCAUACUUAGUGGUAUUAAAUGGUGGUCAACUAUUGAUGAUAGUUGAUUACGACACGGGCUUGAUAAGCAGUUUGUGUGAGUAGCUGUUGAUUACAUGAAAAGAGUGCCGAUUUCUGGAUAUAUCACUUCAGUGAGAAAGUAAUCAAAACAAAGAAGUUUUGAUGAUGAAUGACCUCGGAGAAGAGUAAGUCAUUGAAUGUUGACUUCCAUUGCCAUUGAGACUGGAAGAACUUGUAGCAAUCCGUUGGAAAGAACACAGAAUGGUGUAAUUCUGUAUAUUAGUAAGUAUUGAAAAUAAAGGAUUGGAAAUAUGUAUGAAUUGUGGAUUAAGUUAAAGUGGAAGUGGAACCUAUGGCAGAGUUGCAAUGUUAAGUAUUGAGAAAGGAUUGUAUUUAAUCCUAAUGUACUCCAAGAGGCGGAGAAAAAGGUACGCCUAGUCCGCCAGACAUUGUUAACGGCUCGGUUAAGGCAGCAGAGUUAUGCAACUAAGUGUCGAAGGAGCUUGGAAUUUGCGGUUGGCGAUCGAGUAUUAUAGAAAGUGUCGCCAAUGCAAGGGACAAAAGAGAUUUGGUGUUCGAGGAAAGCUUAGUCCUCGAUGUAUUGGAUCCUAUGAGAUCCUAGCACGAGUUGGAGCAGUAGCCUAUCGUUUGGCUCUACCGCCAAAAUUUGAAGGAAUUCACAAUGUAUUUUAUGUCUCCAAUCUUCGCAAGGAUGUGUAUCACCUUGGACACAUUCUGGAACUCGAAUCAGUGGAUCCGCAAGAGAACAUGAUCUAUGAAGUUUAUCCAGUGUGCAUCUUGGAUUGCGAGGUAAAAGAAUUGCGAAGUCGCAAUAUCCCCGAGGCGAAAGUACAAUGGAGUAAUUACUCAGGACGAGAGGCUACAUGGGGAUUGGAAGAAGCUAUGCGCAAAUCCUACCCUCAUCUAUUUGACCAGGAGAAUUGAAGUAUGAAAUCGAGUUUCGAGGACGAAACUAUUUUAAGGAGGGGAGAUUGUAAUAGGCUGAAACUUGAUUAGAAGCUAAUUGUGAUCAAAGUGGUCACAAUAACGCUAAAAUGGAAAUUAAGUGUUUCCAAACUUAACUAGAGGCUUGAGAACACCAAGUGACAGGUUUUGGAAAUGUGGGAAUAGAUAAGAAUGGAAUUGGAGUGGCUAAAUACAUUCAAUUGCCAUUUUGACUCGAAAGCUGAAAUUCUAGUCACUUUGGUCAAAAAUGGCCAAAUUGAUACCAAAUUGGAAAUUAAUUGCUUCCAAAUUAAUUUGACAACUUGUAGAGGUAUAUUAGUGUAAUUUGGAAGUGCUUGAGUGGACUUGAAGUGAGUUGGAUGGGCAAAAUAAGCUUCAAAGUGCUGCUACAGCUAGUUGUUUAGUGCAGGGACUGAAUUGUAAGCUCCAGGGACUAAACUGUGAACCUGCAGGGACUGAAUCGCGAACUACUGGACUGCAAUGCAGUUUUAGCAUUUUGAGGGAUUAAACAGCAAUUUGCUGAGCUUAUCACCUUAACCCAGUCCAGCUAAAUAUGUCUACGUGUAAGAACCUCCUUCCACAGCUCUUUUCUCAUCUCUUUUCUUCUUCUCUUUCUCUCUCUAGCCGAUUGAUGCAGGGAGAGGGUGGUGUGGCAAAUUGAAGCUUUGGAGGUUGAUAGGAGCUGUCGAACAGCAGGAAACCAGCUAAGAAGGUUUAUAACUUCAGGUAAUUAAAUUAUUCUCAGCUGAAAUCAAAGUAAAAGAGAGGUCUAAAGGAGUAAAACUUGUGUUGGUAGAGUUAGUGGCUGUGAAAGAAGGCUUGGUGGUGAGCAGAUUUGAGGUUUGUGGCCUGAUUGGAGCUACCAAAUUAGAGUUCCAGCUGAGGAAACUUGAAAAUUAAAGUGAGUAUCUUGCUUCUCUGCUAGGCUUAAAGUAUUGCCUAAGAGAAAGGUUUCUAACUGAUUUAAAUGGACAUAGGAAUGCAAGGAAUUAAAGAGGAAUCGUGAAGAUCUCGGCGCCCAAAUUGAAAGAGGCUGAUGGAUCCUCUUAGAUAAUUCGAAUUAAAAAAAGAACUUGAUAAAACCUUGAAUCAAGGUAAGGCUAAUGCUUAUCCCUGGUUAAGUGAUAGAGAUUACUCUAAAAGGGAAUUGCAAACAUUAGAAUAACUUAAUUUGAAUUGGCACAGGGGGCUGCGAAGGAGAAGCCGAAGUGCUGAAAUUUCUGCAUUGCGCAGAAUUUCAGCAUAGACUACUUGCUAUUGGAAUUGGAAAAGAGAACUUGGUGAAGCUUCGAAUUGGGUAAGUGAAUAGUUCUUUCCCGAGUUGAGUGAUAGGAGUUACUCUAAAGAGGUUAUAAGUACUUGAAUUAGUUAAUUGGAAUUGGUAUAGGGGCUGCAAAGGGGAAGUAGGUGUGCAGAAUUUCAGCAUAAGUACCCUGCUGUUGGAGCUGAAAGAAAGCGUGUUGGAGCUGCGAAUUGAGGUAAGAUUGAUGCUUAUCCCUAGUUGGAGUUAUAUUAGUUACUCUAGAAGAGUUCUAAGCAAGAGAACUAAUUGUUCUAUGCUGGUAGUGGCUACACAAAGAUGAAGUGAAGUGCUGAAAUUUCAGCAUGAUGCAGAAUUUCAGCAUGAUGCUGAAAUUAAGAUUGAGCUGGAAUUAUUGCCUUGAUGGAGCUCUUGGGUGUGCCGAAUUGAAAAGGAACCUGGUAGAGUGGUAUUAGAUGGAUCUGAGAUGAAAGGGAUCUAAAGAUUAUGAUUAGAAAGAGAAUUCCUGCUGUAAAUAAGUAAUAAACAGGGAAGUAUAGAUGCCGAGACGUUUAAGUAUUAUGAAUUCUAUGAGAUUUGCUCUAAGUAUAUACUUAUGAUUAGUUGUUGGAAGGUAAAGCUGAGCUAAGAUCAUGAUAAAUUCAUCUUAAGGUUGAUGUUAUUGGUCCCUAAUUCUUGAUUAUUAAAGUCUAAAGUUGAUUAGAAAUUUACUAGUGAGACUAGGCAUAUGUAUAUGUGGAUCGUAUAUACAUAUAUACAAGUACCUUGGAGUAGAAAUGCAAACUUGUAAAAUAUGUGAAUGUGACCUUAGUUAAUCUCUUUUAUUCUCUUAUGAAUGAAAGUU
This 8085-nucleotide long non-coding RNA is filed under the name Ananas comosus (pineapple). Its description in RNAcentral is "long non-coding RNA (ACOM_LNC036475)". Lineage: Eukaryota; Viridiplantae; Streptophyta; Magnoliopsida; Poales; Bromeliaceae. The record is from RNAcentral.